UACGUAGGGUGCGAGCGUUGUCCGGAAUUAUUGGGCGUAAAGAGCUUGUAGGUGGCUCGCUGCGUCGGGAGUGAAAACCUGCGGCUUAACCGCAGGCCUGCUUCCGAUACGGGCGAGCUAGAGUUCGGCAGGGGAGACUGGAAUUCCUGGUGUAGCGGUGGAAUGCGCAGAUAUCAGGAGGAACACCGGUGGCGAAGGCGGUUCUCUGGGCAUUACCUGACGCUGGAGGAGCGAAAGCAUGGGGAGCGAACAGG
Molecule: ribosomal RNA, 254 nt
Filed under: uncultured bacterium
Lineage: Bacteria
Description: partial 16S ribosomal RNA
Rfam family: Bacterial small subunit ribosomal RNA
Source: RNAcentral